GACCAUUUCAUUUUGCCCAGCAAUAGCCUAGAAUCUGGCACCUGUAGGACUAAAGACCGGGAAUAGCCUGGAAGAAGUGGGUGGGGAGCGCCAGGCAGGGCAGACCAGAUCGCAAAGGAAAAAACCCUGGCGUGCAAGCACCGAUAGGAGAGGAAAUGUUUGCUCAGCUGUAAAGGAGGGAGAGAAAAGGGAGAAAGCACAGGCGGCGUGGCAGGUCUUGUUUCAGUGAGAAUGUAAAGUACGUGAGCUAUGUGCUUUGUGAUGAAGUCGUUGAUUUAUUUCACUUUGGAACAAGCACACCACAACAAAGUGAGAAUGAGAAGGUAAUUCAGAGGGAGAAGA
Molecule: long non-coding RNA, 342 nt
Filed under: Homo sapiens (human)
Lineage: Eukaryota; Metazoa; Chordata; Mammalia; Primates; Hominidae
Description: HSALNT0159131
Source: RNAcentral